GCCUUUUCGCAGUUAUGGACUCUGGUGAACUGCGGUAUCCAUAUAACUAAUAUGCAUUUGGACACUAUGCGUCUCUAUAGUUGAUUGCUUUGAACUUUGAAGUCCAGUCUGCGAUGAAAGAUCAAAACUAAUUUAUACGAUUCUACAAGACGUAUCGGUUGUUACAAUGGAGUUAUAACGCGGUUGCUACCUUCUUACUAUACCCGAUACAUAAUGAGUAACGGUGUGCGGGUACCCGGGAUUACGAGUUCGGGUCGAGUCGGCAAAAGUCGGCCGGGCUCGGGCGGAUACCCGUUCGAACAUUCGUACGAAUGUUCAUGUCGGAUGGCGCGCAACUUCGGUUAUAUAAGCCCAAGACCUCGGGUAUUCAAGAGUUGCACAACAGCUCGGUAGUUGGUUUUUUGUCAGAUUUGCUUUCAUAAUAUUUGUUCAAAUAUUAUUCACUUAGACAUUGAUACAGUCGGAUCAUCAUUCUUAUAAAAACUUUUACAAAACCCACAAUUUUAUUUAUCCCUUUCUGUGUUUGCAACCCAUGUAUUUGAUCAUUAAAUUCUAAUGAAUAAAGGAUUUUAAUAAGUUGUAGAAAGCUCUUGAUAUGUUCGAGUACCCUACGACAUACUAUUUUUCUUCGAGUUGUUUGAAGAUAUCGGAUUCUGCGACCCUCGUGUCGUUACUUGAGUUUCUAUUGGAUGCCCGUAAUUUAUAUUACCACGCCGGAGAAAAGUUGCACGCGGUCCCACCACCGAUAAGAAGCCAUUUUUCAUUUUGUCUACACGGGAACCGAUGAAAGCCAGUCGACUGGAAGUGUGACAAUAAAAAAAGGGUCGCCCUUCAAGACUUUGCACCUCCGACCAUUCAACCGUGGAGGGUUAAGACUCGUUUCCUGAGACUUAAUUUCGUUGUACCCCCGUCGACACUUAUUCUUAUUAUUUUUUCCUUUGCCCCGUAAAUCAUCAAUUUCCUUUAUUAACCGCAUUCUUGAUUACAAGAAAAACCCUUCGAAUUUCUCCAAAGAUAUUUUCGCGAAACCAUAACGGCGGCGUGUUAUCAACUAACAUAAAUUCCGAUAGAAAUGAUCUGGAAGAAAUAAAUGGGUUGAUAAAAUUCAAUGAUACCUUCAGAAAAAAAGAAACGUUUUCGACUAUCCUAUCUACUCUGUUCUGAAUAAUACUGAGAUUAUAUUAAUAAAUUGAAGCAUUGUAUCGAAAAAUUAAUUUUCAAUGUUUAAUGAUCCAUGUUGUAGUGUGCCGUACUGGAUACGGCUAUUUCUACCGCGACGGUCAGCGUGUUAAGGGGAGAACCCUAAUCGAUGAGCGCUAAUUCAUAUGAAUGAUCGGGCUUUUACGAAAACAGAACAGGGGAUCUAUUUGAAAUUUUGAGAGUAGUUUUUUAUAUCCAUACAUAUAACAAAAAACUAUUCAAAAAAAGGUCAUUUAAAGAGGUAAUUAAAGAUAAUUUACAAGGUGUUUUGUAGUUUCGUCCAACAGUAUAGGAAAACGGAUGAAAUCCUUUGCAUCGGAUUCUACGUAGAACGCCAAUAUGUGUAAUUUUUUUCUAGUUUCGAGCCAGCUUAAUGGGUACACAUUGCCGUCGUGACAGAAUAAUAACGAUUCUUUUGCGGCCGUUUUAACGGGCAUGAAAAUCGUGGCGACCGAUAGCUGGUGUGUUUUCGUCCGAUACCGAUUCCAUCUGGCUGCUGAUUCCCAAUCUCAAUAAAGCCAGUAAUAGACCAGUUACAAGCUAACAGGCUCCCAUCCCCAUCAACCGACCGACCGACCGGACCGACCGACCGGUUUCCCUCUUCUAUCCCUCUACCACCCUCGAUAUAUUUGGCCGACGCAGCUUAACCCAGGGGAUGGUUCCAUGCGGUGGACUUGAAGCGCGUUCGAGCGUGAAAACUCGCCUGAAAAAUGCGAUGCACCGCGGUGAAUUUGUAAAACGGUCUCGUGGAAAAGCGAGAAACGGGAAAAGCUACAGAGUGUGCAGAGCAGCUACCUUUUUAUUCGGAAAUUAUCGACCCUGUCUUGGCGUCGGACGGUGGACGUGAGUGGUUUUGUCUCCGCAGAUUCAGCCGACUGAAACGUGAAUUUUUGCUCGGGCGAUGGUCCAACGAUGUUGCGACUCUCCCCUAACGAAUUCUCUUCUCUUCUUCGCGCUCUGAUUGCUCGAGGAAUUUUCGACAAUGCGACGGAUUGUAUGAUUCUCCUUGAUUCGAAUCAACGUAAUCGAGAGUACCUGAGGUGAAAUUUAAAUUCUAAUUUGGAACCAACAAUUGUAGAUUAAGUGUUAGGAGUCAGAUGUGAAAUUUCAGCGCUGGUAUUCGCGUAGAAAUUAAAAUGUAAUUACGACGUUCGGAUGUUAUUUAUGUUACGACUCGAACCAAAUUUUCCUCUCUAGAUAUUUCAUGUUACAUUCCAGAUUUUUAUCAAUCGUGAAAUACCAUCGUAUUGUUUUUGAAAUGAAUUUUUGUACGCUAUUAUCGUGCGGUAGUUACGUAUGACUGGCGGCUAUAUCGAAUCGGAAAAGAGCAGAAUAGUUUCCGUUCUGCUGCUAUCUUUGUAUUCGACUCCCAUCAGCAACGAACUACUGUCUCGGAUAUUAUUUUCCUUUAUUGCUUUAUUUCCCCUCGCAACUGUACGCAUUCUUUCAUCAAAUAUAAUUCAAAGCUAUUAGGUCUAUGCAAAAGUUUCCGUCCCUUCUUUUGCGAAGAAUGCACAUUUAUUUUUCAUUAUCUUUCUUCAUAAACGGGCAACAGUCAUCCUUUGACACAGUGUAAUAUGAUCUAAGAUCUAAGAAAUAAUCUUCAGUUACUUAAAAAAAAAAAAAAAACUAAGAAAUUUAGUUAUAGAUCUCUUAUUUUUAUAUUUAAAUCUUUUUUUAUGUUUAAAAAUAAAUCAGUUCAAAUAUUUGUUCUUUUCUCCCAAAUCGUUCUUAUAAAACUUGUUUCCGUGUCAAUCGAGAUUGGAAUUUCGCACGUGUUGUUCCUGCUGAAGGUUUCACGAGCUAAAUAAUAUAUGUUUAUCUGCUCCUGAUAGCAUCGCACCCUAGAGUCCUUCCGACGUAAUCCCGUGGCGUAACUUUUUACCCCUCCGUGUUCGAGCGGCUGACACACGUGCAGGAUGUUAUACGUGGAAUACUUAACGUUAUAAAACCCUAGCAGAGUGAUGUCCUUAUAGAAGAUUGUGCGACACAAAACGAACAGCCGCGAUAUAAAAAUCUCCCUUGUACUUUCCACGAUUUCCCACGUCUUUUCCUACUAUUCCCCAUUGAAACAUCCUUCGCGGGGACGCCAUUUUCAGUCGAUAGAACGAAAUUUAUCGAACGGCGUAACAGCCAUUUCGGAAACUAAGUUUUAAUGGUGUUUUGAAGAAUGGAAAAAGGCUUAAGGGUCAACAGAGGAGUAACGGUUCAAGUUUGAAUCGAUCUUGAGAGCCUUGCGUAUGCGGGGAAACCGAGAAACUUCCGGUAUUCAGCUAGCAAAGACACCUGCUUAAAAUGGAAGCAAAGACCGGUAGGAGAUCAUGGAAAUGGCUUUAUAAUGACUCUUACAGCCCCUGUUCUGCAAAGCAACUCGAACCUGACACAGCAGGCGCUGGACCUGUUAGUCCAGAGCUGAGCCGAGUGCAGAAUAGCUUUGGUCAUCAUCGCGGGGUCAUAUAAUACCCUCGAUUACUCUUGAUCACAGAGGGUGGGUUUUCGCGGUCCCCGGCGUGUUCGGGCCUAUAUACAACACGGAGAGGGAUUCGUGUAGAUCGGGGGGUGGAGGUCUAACAGUAUUUUAGUGUCCGGUAUUGGUCCCGAGAGACUGGAACACCAAAUUCGCUCUGUACAGCGGAACGACGAGGAACGACGUGAAAGGUGAGGCGGUAAUGAAUUGGGCGGUGUGGAGUUACGUUGUGAAUGAAAGUCGUCCGGGAAAUAUCGAGCAGUCGAUACCAGCUCGAAAGGGUUUUCAAAGAAGAGAAAUCGUACGUCUGGAUUUUGUCUUAACCGUUAGAUAUAUAUCGAGGGGAAAAAGGGGUAAGUUGGAGUGCUCGGAGAAUGUGCAUAAUCUAAAUUCUAGGUUCAGUAGAAAUUUAUGUUUAACGUAAGACGAGAAGCAAAUAAAUCCUCCGUAUUCUAACGUAGAAGCAUGCAAUAAAUUUCAGACAUAGAUUCCGCAAUUUUGGACGCAUAUUACCAGACAUUUUCGCACGUUGCCGUGUAGUAUCGCUUGAAACAUAGCGACGAAAACAUAACGCGAUAGUUGCUUGUAAAAGAAUAUAAUAAAGAGGAUAUUUUAUUUUACCCAAAAUAAUGUUUCUGUAUUUAAUGCAACAAUUGAUUGAGUUAUGGUCAGCAUGAAAGCUGUAAUUCAACAAAGUGAUUAAGUAACGAAGCCGGCCAUUAUACGAUAUUAAUUUCGUUCCGAGUGGGGCGGUAAUUUGGUUACGGAAUUUCAACCAACCCUAUGUGCAUACAAUUAAAUUACUUUUACUAAUGAAAUUAGUAUAUAAUGUAGAUAACAAAGAUAUUCUAUCAUUUUUCAAUUCUACUUUCUUACAAUUGCUUAAAGAAAUAUUUAUUUCACACAUUUUGUCCCAGGAUGUACCAGAAAUAAAUGGACGAUCUUUUAAAUAAGACCUCAUCUAAUGGUGGCGUUACUUUUGAAGGCUCACGAUGCGAUUACCAAACUAAUCCAAAACAAUCAUUAAUUCUCGUGGCGAAGUAUUUCGAUAGGACGUCUUGAGGGUCGAGAAUCGUGACACCCCUUAAAAGGCGAGCCAUCGUUAUGCCUGACUCGGUUGGUGCUAAGAAGAUUCUUCUAACUAGCGAAUGUAAUCUCCGAGAGCUAACUCAUCGGACCCUUAAUUCGAGGAAAUCAACCCCGUACCAUCAUUUCAAGAAAUGAAGACAAAUGCGAAAGGCCUGUCACAGUUGACUGUCGUUUCGAGCGUACUCGAGUCAUGAAAAUACUUCGAAUAAGCACAAUAGAAUGAAAGUAGAAUAGAAGUAUCACUUUUAACGACUUCUACUUUACCAGGAUCGUUUGUGCUAUCUCUCCUCGCGCCAACAAUAAGAUUCUUCGUAGAAAGUUCGUAGAAUAGAAGAAGCCUGGAUGGUUGUUGCAAUAGGCGGAAAUACAGGCGCGUAUUUGUUGAGUUUCGAGUGCGAACUUGGUGCGGUUUCAAAAGUCCGUCGUGCGAGUUGCUGCUUUCCUCGAGCCCUCACGCGAGACCGCGUUUACUCAGCCCGGUCACGUACGCGAAGCCGGUUGUUUUGGGGAAACUCGGCAGGUUGCGUGGGUGGUCGUAGAAUUUAACCAAGGACAGAGACAGGGCUAUAAAGAGACGAAGAAACGCAGCUGGAACAUUUUCAGGGAAAUGGCAAAUUGGAUGUUCGGUUGUUACGGGUGCCCUGGUCGACCCCUCGGAUGGCGAAAGAACUGGUCGAGAGGCGGCGACGACCCUACCAGGAGGAAAUGCACGUCGAGGAUGUAAUCUUCGGGCUUUCCGAGGGUGGAAACCGACACCUCGACAUUCCACUUUGGAACACGGCGACUCGCGAAAUGACGAAUGCCAAGCGGAACGCACCUGCUACCCGGCAAGGAAAUCGAGGCGAACGAAUUCGUUGAAAGAUCGAGGGUUGGAGAAAAUGCAGGAGGCGAAAGCACUGUGUCUCCGCGAAAAGAUUUAAGAUUCUACAAGGGGACCGAUAGAUCUGCAACGUGAAAGAAGAAAUUCGCGUUCCUUGAAAAUCUCACUUUACAUCGGAAUAUAAUAUAAAUCAUUAUUAGACUUUUAGAUUCGUAUUUAGCGGACGAAAAUAUCUAUGACAAAGGGGAGAGUUAAAAUUUCUAGGACAGCAUCAUUUUUCAACCGUCGCGUCUGUUUGUUUCCCACAAUGUAUGCGGUAAUGGUAGAAAAGUUUCGUGGAUCAUCCAUUUACCGAGCAUGAUGUAUCAUCACCGUAGAAAGAUUGCUUUUCUUGAUUGAGGGGAUAAUGUUUUCCGCGCGUAACUCAAUUAUCGGGCAAAACGAGCCGACGGUUCGUCCGUGAAAAGUACGCGCACCGGAUGCGUGGGAAAAAUGGUCCCAACAACCAUGCAUCAUUUCGCAGUGCAACGAUAACGUAUACGGUUCAGGACACUUGAUUAAAUGCAGUGAUGCUUUUCUUAUAUUAUUUUCUUCUGAUUUUUAAACUAUUAUGUAUAUUAC
Osmia bicornis bicornis is the source of this 6197-nucleotide long non-coding RNA. RefSeq lists it as uncharacterized. NCBI's taxonomy places the organism in Eukaryota, Metazoa, Arthropoda, Insecta, Hymenoptera, Megachilidae. The transcript has 3 exons. The record is from RefSeq and is a predicted model, not a curated record.